AGGACAUUAGAAGGAGACAUACAUAGGAGUUUCUAUAACUGCGGGUUCAAAUCAGAAUUUCUCUUGGGCUCAUACUUCCCUACUCUAGUAAUGGUGCAUCCUAUUUGCAAGAUGAUGCUAUACUGAUUAACGAAACCAGAGCAAGAGACAACCAAAAGUUGGACGUGUGAGGAAGCACUCUAGAGAUAGAAGCUUGGGAUAAAGUGGAAGUAAGAUGGAAUGUACUCUGCAUUUAGCUGUCACAGG
RNAcentral lists this long non-coding RNA (246 nucleotides) under Nicotiana benthamiana. RNAcentral's name for it is "long non-coding RNA (NBEN_LNC032070)". Lineage: Eukaryota; Viridiplantae; Streptophyta; Magnoliopsida; Solanales; Solanaceae. The record is from RNAcentral.